Molecule: ribosomal RNA, 412 nt
Filed under: uncultured bacterium
Lineage: Bacteria
Description: bacterial SSU rRNA
Rfam family: Bacterial small subunit ribosomal RNA
Source: RNAcentral
ACGGGUGAGUAAAGCUUAGGAAUCUGCCUAUUAGUGGGGGACAACAUUUCGAAAGGGAUGCUAAUACCGCAUACGUCCUACGGGAGAAAGCAGGGGACCUUCGGGCCUUGCGCUAAUAGAUGAGCCUAAGUCGGAUUAGCUAGUUGGUGGGGUAAAGGCCUACCAAGGCGACGAUCUGUAGCGGGUCUGAGAGGAUGAUCCGCCACACUGGGACUGAGACACGGCCCAGACUCCUACGGGAGGCAGCAGUGGGGAAUAUUGGACAAUGGGGGGAACCCUGAUCCAGCCAUGCCGCGUGUGUGAAGAAGGCCUUUUGGUUGUAAAGCACUUUAAGUGGGGAGGAGGCUCUCUUGGUUAAUACCUAAGAAGAGUGGACGUUACCCACAGAAUAAGCACCGGCUAACUCUGUGCC